GACGAACGCUGGCGGCGUGCUUAACACAUGCAAGUCGAACGAUGAAGAAAAGAAUUGAAGCUUCGGCAGAAAUUCAUUUCGGAUUAGUGGUAGACGGGUGAGUAACGCGUGAGCAACCUACCUCUUACAAAGGGAUAGCCUCGGGAAACCGGGAUUAAUACCAUAUAACAUUGCGACGAAGCAUUUCGAUGCAAUCAAAGCUACGGCGGUAAGAGAUGGGCUCGCGUCCCAUUAACCAGAUGGUGAGGUAACGGCUCACCAUAGUAACGAUGGGUAACCGGCCUGAGAGGGUGAACGGUCACACUGGAACUGAGACACGGUCCAGACUCCUACGGGAGGCAGCAGUAGGGAAUAUUGCACAAUGGAGGGAACUCUGAUGCAGCGACGCCGCGUGAGUGAUGAAGGAAUUCGUUUCGUAAAACUCUGUUCUAUGGGAAGAAAAGGACUGUACCAUAGGAGAAAGCUCCGGCUAAAUACGUG
This 480-nucleotide ribosomal RNA is filed under the name uncultured bacterium. Its description in RNAcentral is "partial 16S ribosomal RNA". It matches the Rfam family "Bacterial small subunit ribosomal RNA", at positions 28 to 507 of the family's 1533-position model. The record is from RNAcentral.